AUGUGCCAAGGAAGGCCUGCAGGGAGGCUGGAGGCAGUGCUAGCUCCAGGCGCUGCUGGGGAGUGCCUGUGCUGUCCCUGUUCCCAAGUUGAGGUGCUGGUGAGCCCUGAAUGUGGCUCCUCCAGUUCAUCCGGGACUCUCUUCCCACAUCGGUUGCUAAUGAAGGAGAGUGUUGUGUUUCAAGGAAGCUCCCCGGCCAUGGCUGUUGUGCAUGUUGAGGAGAUGCAUCACUGAAGGAUUAAAAUACAACUGCUGUGAGAUGGGAAGCAAAGCAGGCCAGGACUAGAAACUGCUAUGGAAGGAGAGUUAAGACAUUAAUGGAUGCUGUACAUGCAAUGGGACUGGUUAGAAUGCACAGCCUCUGUACUGAGUUUGAAUAACUGAGGCUGAGUGGCUGUUUCUUUCAGUAUGUUAAUAAUACCCCAGUUUCUCCAUAAAGUCAAGAAAUAUAACUGCAGUUGCCUAGCACUGGUGUGGAUGACUGUCCUCUCUAAGAGCUGCAGUGCUGGCACUGAGCUGAUAUUGUAAGGACUCUGUAAGAGAAAAUGGCUUUAAUCACUGUGUAUUUAGUUGGGGUAGCUGGGCUCAGCUGGGAGUUAAAUCGUUUGUUUAGGGCAACCUCCUCCUUCCAGCAGCUGAGUGCAAGCUAUCCCCAGGCAGCUGCGUUGCUCUUUCAAGGCAAGAGGUCCAGCCCGUGAAGUUGUGUGUGA
RNAcentral lists this long non-coding RNA (710 nucleotides) under Coturnix japonica (Japanese quail). RNAcentral describes it as "lncRNA (ENSCJPG00005008021.1)". The record is from RNAcentral. Lineage: Eukaryota; Metazoa; Chordata; Aves; Galliformes; Phasianidae.